GACGAACGCUGGCGGCGUGCUUAACACAUGCAAGUCGAACGAGAAUCUACUGAAAGAGUUUUCGGACAAUGGAUGUAGAGGAAAGUGGCGGACGGGUGAGUAACGCGUGAGGAACCUGCCUUGAAGAGGGGGACAACAGUUGGAAACGACUGCUAAUACCGCAUGAUGCAUAGGGAUCGCAUGAUCCUUAUGCCAAAGAUUUAUCGCUUCAAGAUGGCCUCGCGUCUGAUUAGCUGGUUGGCGGGGUAACGGCCCACCAAGGCGACGAUCAGUAGCCGGACUGAGAGGUUGAACGGCCACAUUGGGACUGAGAUACGGCCCAGACUCCUACGGGAGGCAGCAGUGGGGAAUAUUGGGCAAUGGGCGCAAGCCUGACCCAGCAACGCCGCGUGAAGGAAGAAGGCUUUCGGGUUGUAAACUUCUUUUAAGAGGGAAGAGCAGAAGACGGUACCUCUAGAAUAAGCCACGGCUAACUACGUGCCAGCAGCCGCGGUAA
RNAcentral lists this ribosomal RNA (496 nucleotides) under uncultured bacterium. RNAcentral's name for it is "partial 16S ribosomal RNA". It matches the Rfam family "Bacterial small subunit ribosomal RNA", at positions 28 to 523 of the family's 1533-position model. The record is from RNAcentral.